RNAcentral lists this ribosomal RNA (168 nucleotides) under uncultured bacterium. Its description in RNAcentral is "partial 16S ribosomal RNA". It matches the Rfam family "Bacterial small subunit ribosomal RNA", at positions 338 to 498 of the family's 1533-position model. The record is from RNAcentral.
CCUACGGGAGGCAGCAGUGGGGAAUUUUGGACAAUGGGCGCAAGCCUGAUCCAGCAAUGCCGCGUGAGUGAAGAAGGCCUUCGGGUUGUAAAGCUCUUUUGUCAGGGAAGAAACGGUUGUCUCUAAUACAGAUGGCUAAUGACGGUACCUGAAGAAUAAGCACCGGCU